This is a long non-coding RNA of Gadus macrocephalus (Pacific cod), 1558 nucleotides long. RefSeq lists it as uncharacterized. NCBI's taxonomy places the organism in Eukaryota, Metazoa, Chordata, Actinopteri, Gadiformes, Gadidae. The transcript has 3 exons. The record is from RefSeq and is a predicted model, not a curated record.
GACGCGGGAAUGCGAGACAGCCCUGGCGGAAGAGGAGGGAGGGGAAGAACAAGUAACGUGUAAUCAAACUACAAUUUUAUCCAUUUCAACCCCUGGAUCACUGUCGCAACAAGCCGACUGCACUCAGGGUAUCCGUGGUCUGCGGACCCUUUGAGAGAAGACAUGACGUUGAAGGCGAAAAAAGCAGAUCCUCGCCCCCUCCAGAACUGCUACUUUUCCCCCUCUCCAGAAUUGGCACCUUGGAGCGAUGUGUGUCCAGUCCACUCACAUCUAUCACUGUGUCUGUGUUUCCGCAGUGAUGUUAUUGAGGUUGUAAAUUAAAGGCGCCAAACACCGGGAGGAUCUGAGAGAACAAACUUACGAUCAGAGCUUUGUCGUAACUGGUGAGAUUCUCUCUCUCUCUCUCUCUCUCUCUCUCUCUCUCUCUCUCUCUCUCUCUCUCUCUCUCUCUCUCUCUCUCUCUCUCUCUCUCCCCCUCUCUCUCUCUCUCUCUCUCUCUCUCUCUCUCUCUCUCUCUCUCUCUCUCUCUCUCUCUCUCUCUCUCUACCAUCUACAUUUCAUUCCAGCUUUUUUGAAAGAUGUGCAUGUUUUUAUUGAAACCAGACCCCUGGGAAGACAUUUUGGGGGACAUCAUGAAGAAAGUGGCGCUUUCUUUGACCCAUUCAGGACUUCUGCUUUUCCAUGUUAUAAUGGCCCUCCAAAUCUCCUAUGGCAUGUAUAUUAGAGAGGACACGUAGAGGACACGUAAGAUUGAACGCUACUGCAGAAUGGCACAAAGCCGUUCUUUUUUUCAUGACUGUUUAGCUGUAUUUUCAGCAAUUAAAUGGUUGACUUGUUGACUACACAGGGAAAGCCUUUGAAGAGACUCUAGCAGCAGAGCUAGUCAGAGAGUAUGGCUCUGAAUGAGACGCAAAAGAUUGGUUUUCUCUUAAACUUGUUUACCUUUCAGUAUAGCAUAAGCUAUAUGUUUUUCCUCUUUGAAGUUUCAACAUAUAGUUACAAUUAUUUAUUUACACAGUAUAUAAGGUAAGAACUAAGGUCCUCAGGAGCAAGUUACGUCAAUGUCGAUGCUUCACUUUAGAAAUGCUAACUUUGCUGUGGCCCCUUUGAAUGCUCUAAAUAGCGGGGAAAUGCACCCUGGUUGCCAUGGCUAUAAGUGCGUUGAAGAGGACAUUCAAUGUGGGAGUUAUUUUUUUGAGUCUCCCGUUUUGUGACCGUUGUUUUAAACCAGCCAAAAGGCUGAUUUGUAUGGGUGUCAUUUUAUAAUCAUGAUUAAUAACUACAAUAUUUUAUGUUUUUGUUUUUUGUCUUUCUUUACUAGACCACAGUCUAUAAUCAUUUAGUUGAAUUAUCCUAUUUGUAUACUGUUACACUUACUAUAAUGUAAUGGCUUGUAUUUCAAAAAUGUUACGUUGUCGGGGAAAAAGUGUGCUGCUGCCGUGUACAACACUCCCUACACAUGCCAUUGAAUGACUUUGAAAAGUUUCUGACAUUACAUUUUACACACCUGUGAUCCAAAGGACAGCAAAUAAAAAAUAAGAUAGCAAAUCCAGAAAAC